UGGGGAAUAUUGCACAAUGGAGGGAACUCUGAUGCAGCGACGCCGCGGGAAGGAAGAAGGCUUUCGAGUCGUAAAGUUUUUUUAUAUGGGAAGAUAAUGACAGUACCAUAAGAAAAAGCCCCGGCUAACUACGUGCCAGCAGCCGCGGUAAUACGUAGGGGGCUAGCGUUGUCCGGAAUCACUGGGCGUAAAGGGUUCGCAGGCGGAAAUGCAAGUCAGGUGUAAAAGGCAGUAGCUUAACUACUGUAAGCAUUUGAAACUGCAUAUCUUGAGAAGAGUAGAGGUAAGUGGAAUUUUUAGUGUAGCGGUGAAAUGCGUAGAUAUUAAAAAGAAUACCGGUGGCGAAGGCGACUUACUGGGCUCAUUCUGACGCUGAGGAACGAAAGCGUGGGUAGCAAACAGG
Molecule: ribosomal RNA, 403 nt
Filed under: bacterium
Lineage: Bacteria
Description: partial 16S ribosomal RNA
Rfam family: Bacterial small subunit ribosomal RNA
Source: RNAcentral